AGUGAACGCUGGCGGUAGGCCUAACACAUGCAAGUCGAACGGCAGCACAGAGGAGCUUGCUCCUUAGGUGGCGAGUGGCGGACGGGCGAGGAAUACAUCGGAAUCUACUCUGUCGUGGGGGAUAACGUAGGGAAACUUACGCUAAUACCGCAUACGACCUACGGGUGAAAGCAGGGGAUCUUCGGACCUUGCGCGAUUGAAUGAGCCGAUGCCGGAUUAGCUAGUUGGCGGGGUAAAGGCCCACCAAGGCGACGAUCCGUAGCUGGUCUGAGAGGAUGAGCAGCCACACUGGAACUGAGACACGGUCCAGACUCCUACGGGAGGCAGCAGUGGGGAAUAUUGGACAAUGGGCGCAAGCCUGAUCCAGCCAUACCGCGUGGGUGAAGAAGGCCUUCGGGUUGUAAAGCCCUUUUGUUGGGAAAGAAAUCCAUCUGGUUAAUACCCGGGUGGGAUGACGGUACCCAAAGAAUAAGCACCGGCUAACUUCGUGCCAGCAGCCGCCGUAA
Molecule: ribosomal RNA, 506 nt
Filed under: uncultured bacterium
Lineage: Bacteria
Description: partial 16S ribosomal RNA
Rfam family: Bacterial small subunit ribosomal RNA
Source: RNAcentral